Apus apus (common swift) is the source of this 422-nucleotide long non-coding RNA. RefSeq lists it as uncharacterized. NCBI's taxonomy places the organism in Eukaryota, Metazoa, Chordata, Aves, Apodiformes, Apodidae. The transcript has 3 exons. The record is from RefSeq and is a predicted model, not a curated record.
UCUUUUAGGAUUGGCUGCCCCUCCGCAUCCAUAAUGUAAUUAAAACAAGGGGGGAAAAAUUAUCAUGGAGGCAGAGGUUAAUGCAAGUGUUUAGCAGAUGCCUUACUGUAAAAUCUGCUUUUUAAAAAACCCCAAAACCAACAACCAAAAAACCAGCAAACUCAUUAAAACUUAAAUAUCGGAUAAUCUCAAACCAGCUUGCUGUCUGCGCCUACGCACCUCGACCAGUAUUCAGACGACUCCUGAAAUCAGUGUCAUGCUUCUUUAACUGGUCUGAUAGGAAAGUAACAGAAGAAGACGGGAAAUGGAGAACUGAGUGUCAUGCACCUCCUCAGACCUGCAGGGAGACCGAGCAGUGGCCAAAAAGUUGGGUGUAAAUGCGACAACAAAAAUAAAUAAUUUACAUCACCCUGCAGAACGUA